Molecule: ribosomal RNA, 479 nt
Filed under: uncultured Latescibacterota bacterium
Lineage: Bacteria; Pseudomonadati; Candidatus Latescibacterota
Description: bacterial SSU rRNA
Rfam family: Bacterial small subunit ribosomal RNA
Source: RNAcentral
UUAAAGGAAUUGACGGGGCCCGCACAAGCGGCGGAGCAUGCGGAUUAAUUCGAUGCAACGCGAAGAACCUUACCAAGGCUUGACAUACACCGGUAACGCCCAGAGAUGGGUGCCCCUUUGUGGUCGGUGGACAGGUGGUGCAUGGUUGUCGUCAGCUCGUGUCGUGAGAUGUCGGGUUAAGUCCCGCAACGAGCGCAACCCUUAUCCCCAGUUGCCAUCAGGUAAAGCUGGGAACUCUGGGGAGACUGCCGGUGAUAAACCGGAGGAAGGCGGGGAUGACGUCAAGUCCUCAUGGCCCUUACAUCCCGGGCUACACACGUGCUACAAUGGCAGGUACAGAGGGCUGCGAAGCCGCGAGGUGGAGCGAAUCCCAGAAAACCUGUCUCAGUCCGGAUUGAAGUCUGCAACUCGACUUCAUGAAGGCGGAAUCGCUAGUAACCGCGAAUCAGCAGGUCGCGGUGAAUACGUUCCCGGGCCUU